This 818-nucleotide ribosomal RNA is filed under the name Flavobacteriaceae bacterium ACEMC 12-6. RNAcentral's name for it is "bacterial SSU rRNA". It matches the Rfam family "Bacterial small subunit ribosomal RNA", at positions 51 to 865 of the family's 1533-position model. Lineage: Bacteria; Pseudomonadati; Bacteroidota; Flavobacteriia; Flavobacteriales; Flavobacteriaceae. The record is from RNAcentral.
ACACAUGCAAGUCGAGGGGUAACAGAGGUAGCUUGCUACUUGCUGACGACCGGCGCACGGGUGCGUAACGCGUAUAGAAUCUACCUUAUACUGGGGGAUAGCCUUUGGAAACGAAGAUUAAUACCCCAUAGUAUGUUUGAAUGGCAUCAUUUGGACAUUAAAGUUUCGGCGGUAUAAGAUGACUAUGCGUUCUAUUAGUUUGUUGGUAAGGUAACGGCUUACCAAGACUACGAUAGAUAGGGGUCCUGAGAGGGAGAUCCCCCACACUGGUACUGAGACACGGACCAGACUCCUACGGGAGGCAGCAGUGAGGAAUAUUGGACAAUGGAGGCAACUCUGAUCCAGCCAUGCCGCGUGUAGGAAGACUGCCCUAUGGGUUGUAAACUACUUUUAUAUGGGAAGAAUAAGGUCUACGUGUAGACUGAUGACGGUACCAUAAGAAUAAGCACCGGCUAACUCCGUGCCAGCAGCCGCGGUAAUACGGAGGGUGCAAGCGUUAUCCGGAAUCAUUGGGUUUAAAGGGUCCGUAGGCGGGCAUAUAAGUCAGUGGUGAAAGUCUGUGGCUCAACCAUAGAAUUGCCAUUGAUACUGUAUGUCUUGAAUUAUUGUGAAGUGGUUAGAAUAUGUAGUGUAGCGGUGAAAUGCUUAGAGAUUACAUAGAAUACCGAUUGCGAAGGCAGAUCACUAACAAUAUAUUGACGCUGAUGGACGAAAGCGUAGGUAGCGAACAGGAUUAGAUACCCUGGUAGUCUACGCCGUAAACGAUGGAUACUAGUUGUUUGGUUUUCGGACUGAGUGACUAAGCGAAAGUGAUAAGU